UUCUUUUUCAACUGACCCUCAUCAAGUUCACAAGGGGAUGAUCAUUUCAGAAUUAUCUUUACUGAUGAAGAAAAGAUUGGAAAAGAUCGGUAAGAGAUCUUUGGAACCGAGAGCAAGCUGCACUAAUGAGUCUCCUGAUGCUGUCCCGGCGAUGGGCCCCGCAGAAUCCCAUCAAUAAAACAUGAAGAUGAAGCACCCACGGCCCUAAAGUCAGGAGGGUUUUGAGACAACUCUGUGAGGUCUAUGAAGAAUAAACAAAUUUACAUUUUCUCCUGUAUCUUGCCUCAUUAGUAAGUGCUUUGAAUAGUCAGUCACCUGCAUUGUCAAGGAAGUCUGCCGAUUGGACUGCGUUUUUGAAGUCUUGCCUUUGACAUCAGUAUUCAUUUUAAUGUCAUGCCAUCAAUGUGUCGCCUCAAGAGGAGAUCAUUUCAGUCUUAAUAUAGUCAGGUUCAGCAAACAGAAGCCACAUUAUUAAGGCAAGAAAAGCAAGUCAUUCAGGAAGCUCCAAAACUGAGAAGGCGGUGUGCUAAGUCCUGAAAGACCAUCUUACUACAACUUUUCAGCUUCAUUUUAUCCUUAAGCAAGUGAGAAACAGAGAGAUAACUCUACAGCAAAGCCACUGAGAAAUUAAUAAAAGCAAGACAAGAGAGGAUAAACAUUAAGAAGUUCAACAGCAACUUUAGCAAUGAAGUAUGGGCUACUCAAGAGAAAAGGGAAGAAAUGUCAAAUAGCUUUUGUUUCAAAUGCAUAGCCAACCAGAAUAUAGAAAAUAUAAAGUACACACUACUUUCAAAUUUGGACCAUUAUUUCUAAAUAAGUGAGUGGAAAGAUUUGCGCCAAUUUGUUCUAUUCCAGUCCAAAAAAGAAGACAAACAUGGAAGCCUGUGUUUGAUAUUAUGCACUCAUAUUGCUAUUGAGA
Long non-coding RNA from Chinchilla lanigera (long-tailed chinchilla), 919 nucleotides. RefSeq lists it as uncharacterized. The transcript has 7 exons. The record is from RefSeq and is a predicted model, not a curated record. NCBI's taxonomy places the organism in Eukaryota, Metazoa, Chordata, Mammalia, Rodentia, Chinchillidae.